AUACGGAGGGUGCAAGCGUUAAUCGGAAUUACUGGGCGUAAAGGGCGCGUAGGUGGUUAGGUCAGUCGGAUGUGAAAGCCCCGGGCUCAACCUGGGAAUGCCAUUCGAUACUGCCAAACUAGAGUGUGGUAGAGGGAAGCGGAAUUCCGGGUGUAGCGGUGAAAUGCGUAGAUAUCCGGAGGAACACCAGUGGCGAAGGCGGCUUCCUGGAUCAACACUGACACUGAGGCGCGAAAGCGUGGGGAGCAAACAGGAUUAGAAACCCGAGUAGUCC
This 274-nucleotide ribosomal RNA is filed under the name uncultured bacterium. Its description in RNAcentral is "partial 16S ribosomal RNA". It matches the Rfam family "Bacterial small subunit ribosomal RNA", at positions 523 to 796 of the family's 1533-position model. The record is from RNAcentral.